GUCUCCAUUCCCGAGUCUGCUCUGAUCCAAGAAGAAUCGUUGAUUUUGCAGUCUGUUCAUCUUUUUGCUUGUUAGGACAGAGUGGAGGAUCAGAGCAAGCAUGAAGUGCUUGGUUGAAGUGAAGAAUGCGAUGGGAACUAAGAGAAAGUCUUGCUACAGUCACCAGGCUGUCCAGACAGGAUCCUGGCCUCUGUUAAACCUCUGUCUUUACAACCUUAGAAAGGCAACAUCCAUAAUGAAGGAACUACCUUCGCUCAGGCUCUAUCCUCUGUGUGGCAGUAUCUAUAAAAUGGGUAUAUUGCUAGUCAGUAAAGCUGCUUGGGGCAUCCCUGGUGGUUCAGUGGUAAAGAAUUCAUCUGCUAAUGCAGGAGUUGCAGGUUCAGUCCUGGGUUGGGAAGAUCCACUGGAGAAGGAAAUGGCAGCCCACUCCAGUAUUCUUGCCUGCAAAAUCCCAUGGACAGAGGAGCCUGGCGGGCUACAUCCAUGGGGUCGCAGAAGGGUUGACAUAGACAUGACUUAGAGAUGAAACAACAGAUCUUCUCAGAGUAUUUUCUCUGAGUAUAUGAUGUGUAAUUAUUUUUCUCCAUCAACCCCAAGUAGGUAUCAAGUGCCAGUUCUUUCUUUCUCUAUCUCACUUUUAAAUGAGUGAAUGAAUGAAUUUUUGGCUGCUCUGGUCUUUGUUGC
Cervus elaphus (red deer) is the source of this 684-nucleotide long non-coding RNA. RefSeq lists it as uncharacterized. Lineage: Eukaryota; Metazoa; Chordata; Mammalia; Artiodactyla; Cervidae. The transcript has 3 exons. The record is from RefSeq and is a predicted model, not a curated record.